UACGUAGGGUGCGAGCGUUAAUCGGAAUUACUGGGCGUAAAGCGUGCGCAGGCGGUUUUGUAAGCCAGAUGUGAAAUCCCCGGGCUCAACCUGGGAAUGGCAUUUGGGACUGCAAGGCUCGAGUUUGGCAGAGGAGACUGGAAUUCCUGGUGUAGCAGUGAAAUGCGUAGAUAUCAGGAAGAACACCCGUGGCGAAGGCGGUUCUCUGGGACGGUACUGACGCUGAGACGCGAAAGCGUGGGGAGCGAACAGG
This 253-nucleotide ribosomal RNA is filed under the name uncultured bacterium. RNAcentral's name for it is "partial 16S ribosomal RNA". It matches the Rfam family "Bacterial small subunit ribosomal RNA", at positions 524 to 776 of the family's 1533-position model. The record is from RNAcentral.